RNAcentral lists this transfer RNA (90 nucleotides) under Pseudomonadota bacterium. RNAcentral describes it as "tRNA-Ser". It matches the Rfam family "tRNA". Rfam says of the family: Transfer RNA (tRNA) molecules are approximately 80 nucleotides in length. The record is from RNAcentral. RNAcentral also lists the same sequence under 1 other name. Lineage: Bacteria; Pseudomonadati; Pseudomonadota.
GGAGACGUGGCCGAGCGGUCUAAGGCAGCAGUCUUGAAAACUGCCGAGGGGGCGACUCCUCCGUGAGUUCGAAUCUCACCGUCUCCGCCA